CGCAUCUGUGCAUGCAGCAUAUCAAUAAGCGGAGGAAAAGAAACUAACAAGGAUUCCCCUAGUAACGGCGAGUGAAGCGGGAAGAGCUCAAAUUUGAAAUCUUAAAGGGUUUCCCUUUACGAAUUGUAGUUUAAAGAAGUGUUUUCUGUUGAGGUUUUGGUAAAAGUUCUUUGGAAUAGGACAUCAUAGAGGGUGAGAAUCCCGUAUUUGACCUUUACUUUCAACUUUGUGAUACACUUUCAAAGAGUCGGAUUGUUUGGGAAUGCAGUCCAAAAUGGGUGGUAAAUUUCAUCUAAAGCUAAAUAUUGGCGAGAGACCGAUAGCGAACAAGUACCGUGAGGGAAAGAUGAAAAGAACUUUGAAAAGAGAGUUAAACAGUACGUGAAAUUGUACAAAAGGGAAGCGUUUGACACCAGUGUUGUUUUUCUGAAAAUCAAUUAAAGAACUGUUUAUGCUAAGCUGUUUAGACUUUAUCAGCUAUCUGUUUAGUUUUGAGCUUUUCUUUAAUGCACUUUUCAGUUAACAAGUCAACAUCAAUUUCUUUUGCUGUAAAAAAGCUUGAGGAAGGUGGCUUGAGAUUCGUCUUAAGUGUUUAUAGCCUCUUGCCUAUGCAGUCGGAGAGAUUGAGGUCUGCAGCGUAGAUCCUUCGGGGCUAAAUGCAUUUGUGCUAAGUUAUAGCAUUUUAUAGACAACUUGUUGACUAUGAUUUGUCUUGUAGCUUACUCGCUUAUGUUAUUUUACCUACGCUUAGGAUGUUGAGUCGUAGAGCACGCAG
Molecule: ribosomal RNA, 775 nt
Filed under: uncultured Neocallimastigales
Lineage: Eukaryota; Fungi; Neocallimastigomycota; Neocallimastigomycetes; Neocallimastigales
Description: partial large subunit ribosomal RNA
Rfam family: Eukaryotic large subunit ribosomal RNA
Source: RNAcentral